CAGGAAAUCAACUGUCUGUAUCAGCAAGAUGGAUUAGUUCAGCAGGCUGAGAGGACAAUACCCUGCAUUUAAAAAAAAAAUGUAUUUUUCAGAGUUAAUUUUGCACUUGAACACCAUGUAGUGAAUCAACUCAUCCUGCAGCCACUUGCUUAUCCAGGCCAACAAAAAGAAGGAAAAGGAAACCGAAGACUUUUCUUCAGCUUUUUGGACUCUUUUGGCAUAGCUGUAGCACUAGCAUUGGCCUAAAGGCAUUGGAACAGAGGGAGAGAGUCUUGUAACACCUAGGUAAUCAUGAAGGGGAAAAUAAUGAGAAGACAUUUAAGAAGCACAACAGGAGAGUGUUCAGGCCACGGUAGAAGAAAGGAGCAAGAGCACUACAGUUUCCCCUCUGGCUGCCAGCAAACCACCUUAGGAUUCAUUCUGAAUGUUUCAGUUUGACCCCGAACAGAACUCCUUGACCUGGAAUCUGCAGCUGGUGGAGAACCUGCCUCUCAUUUGUACUUCUGGAGACCAAUGAGCUGUUCACUUCUGCUGUGCUGCAAGGCUUAUUCACUUUAUGGUCAAUUCUCAAAUGUCUGUGAGAAGAUUAUCUGGGUUAUGUAUUAUAUGUGUCAUGCUUAAAAAAAUCCUUUUCUGACCUCAUUCCAUGCUUAUAGUCUCGUUCUUAAAAGGUAAAUAAACUAAACAGAAUGUGCUAGCA
Molecule: long non-coding RNA, 700 nt
Filed under: Junco hyemalis (dark-eyed junco)
Lineage: Eukaryota; Metazoa; Chordata; Aves; Passeriformes; Passerellidae
Description: lncRNA (ENSJHYG00000006159.1)
Source: RNAcentral